Molecule: ribosomal RNA, 468 nt
Filed under: uncultured bacterium
Lineage: Bacteria
Description: partial 16S ribosomal RNA
Rfam family: Bacterial small subunit ribosomal RNA
Source: RNAcentral
GACGAACGCUGGCGGCGUGCUUAACACAUGCAAGUCGAACGGAAAGGCCCUGCUUUUGUGGGGUGCUCGAGUGGCGAACGGGUGAGUAACACGUGAGUAACCUGCCCUUGACUUUGGGAUAACUUCAGGAAACUGGGGCUAAUACCGGAUAGGAGCUCCUGCUGCAUGGUGGGGGUUGGAAAGUUUCGGCGGUUGGGGAUGGACUCGCGGCUUAUCAGCUUGUUGGUGGGGUAGUGGCUUACCAAGGCUUUGACGGGUAGCCGGCCUGAGAGGGUGACCGGCCAAAUUGGGCCUGGGAUACGGCCCAGCCUCCUACGGGAGGCAGCAGUGGGGAAUAUUGCACAAUGGGCGGAAGCCUGAGGCAGCAACGCCGCGUGCGGGAUGACGGCCUUCGGGUUGUAAACCGCUUUCGCCUGUGACGAAGCGUGAGUGACGGUAAUGGGUAAAGAAGCACCGGCUAACUACGUG